CUUUGACAUGGAGCUUGUUCUUGUAUCCCAACCAUGAAAAAUUUUGAUCUUCAAAGAGACAGCUUUCUUCGAUAUUAGAGUUUCAGAAGAUAGACAAUUCUGACCGUAUUUGUAGAUUCAAGAAUCUAUGAAGCAAAACGGUAAUAACGAAAGUAUCAAAAUCAUUAAUAAACAAACUAAAACUAAAUUGAUAUCUAGAAAUACCCAAACAGUCAAAG
This 218-nucleotide long non-coding RNA is filed under the name Elaeis guineensis (African oil palm). RNAcentral describes it as "long non-coding RNA (EGUI_LNC081441)". The record is from RNAcentral. Lineage: Eukaryota; Viridiplantae; Streptophyta; Magnoliopsida; Arecales; Arecaceae.